GAUGAACGCUGGCGGCGUGCUUAACACAUGCAAGUCGAACGGAAAGGCCAGUGCUUGCACUGGUACUCGAGUGGCGAACGGGUGAGUAACACGUGGGUGAUCUGCCCUGCACUUCGGGAUAAGCCUGGGAAACUGGGUCUAAUACCGGAUAGGACAAUGGUUUGGAUGCCGUUGUGGAAAGUUUUUUCGGUGUGGGAUGAGCUCACGGCCUAUCAGCUUGUUGGUGGGGUAAUGGCCUACCAAGGCGUCGACGGGUAGCCGGCCUGAGAGGGUGUACGGCCACAUUGGGACUGAGAUACGGCCCAGACUCCUACGGGAGGCAGCAGUGGGGAAUAUUGCACAAUGGGCGCAAGCCUGAUGCAGCGACGCCGCGUGGGGGAUGACGGCCUUCGGGUUGUAAACUCCUUUCGCUAGGGACGAAGCGUAUUUGUGACGGUACCUGGAGAAGAAGCACCGGCUAACUACGUG
This 468-nucleotide ribosomal RNA is filed under the name uncultured bacterium. Its description in RNAcentral is "partial 16S ribosomal RNA". It matches the Rfam family "Bacterial small subunit ribosomal RNA", at positions 28 to 507 of the family's 1533-position model. The record is from RNAcentral.